This 301-nucleotide ribosomal RNA is filed under the name uncultured bacterium. RNAcentral's name for it is "partial 16S ribosomal RNA". It matches the Rfam family "Bacterial small subunit ribosomal RNA", at positions 509 to 807 of the family's 1533-position model. The record is from RNAcentral.
CAGCCGCCGCGGGAAUACGUAGGGUGCAAGCGUUAAUCGGAAUUACUGGGCGUAAAGCGUGCGCAGGCGGUUCGUUAAGACAGAUGUGAAAUCCCCGGGCUUAACCUGGGAACUGCAUUUGUGACUGGCGGGCUAGAGUAUGGCAGAGGGGGGUAGAAUUCCACGUGUAGCAGUGAAAUGCGUAGAGAUGUGGAGGAAUACCGAUGGCGAAGGCAGCCCCCUGGGCCAAUACUGACGUUCAUGCACGAAAGCGUGGGGAGCAAACAGGAUUAGAGACCCCUGUAGUCCCUGUCUCUUAUAC